UACGUAGGGGGCGAGCGUUGUCCGGAAUCAUUGGGCGUAAAGAGCGUGUAGGCGGCUUGGCAAGUCUGACGUGAAAGCCCGCGGCUCAACCGCGGAUUGGCGUUGGAAACUGCCUCGCUAGAGUCAGGAAGAGGAGAGCGGAAUUCCUGGUGUAGCGGUGGAAUGCGCAGAUAUCAGGAAGAACACCCGUGGCGAAGGCGGCUCUCUGGGACGGUACUGACGCUGAGACGCGAAAGCGUGGGGAGCGAACAGG
This 253-nucleotide ribosomal RNA is filed under the name uncultured bacterium. RNAcentral's name for it is "partial 16S ribosomal RNA". It matches the Rfam family "Bacterial small subunit ribosomal RNA", at positions 524 to 776 of the family's 1533-position model. The record is from RNAcentral.